Molecule: unclassified non-coding RNA, 338 nt
Filed under: Euphorbia sp. XA-2014
Lineage: Eukaryota; Viridiplantae; Streptophyta; Magnoliopsida; Malpighiales; Euphorbiaceae
Description: partial external transcribed spacer
Source: RNAcentral
GGUCGUUCUUAUGUAGGGACAGCGAGAACAUAAAGAGGAAACUGAUUCCCUCCUCUCGCAAAAGCAUUCUGCAUCCGAGAGCACGAGCACCUUCACAUGUGCCGGAGAAGCCAAAAAGGCAUGCCCGGAACACGAGAGCUGCUGUAUGGUUCAUCCGACGCCCCUAAAGGGGCUUGGGACGAAUGUUCCUUAGCAACGAAAUUCCAUUCCUCUACGAGGGUAUGCAACACAGAAACCGUCCCCGCCCGAUAGAGCAAUACGCCUACGGGACACCACUGAGUGGCCUCGAGGUGAGACAGUUCGAUGCGCUAGCACAGAGCCUGCCAACCCCAACGGCC